CCCGCACAAGCGGUGGAGUAUGUGGUUUAAUUCGAUGCAACGCGAAGAACCUUACCUGGUCUUGACAUCCCGGAGACCCUUAGGAAACUAGGGGGUGCUUCCAUCUGGAAGAAUCUGGAGACAGGUGCUGCAUGGCUGUCGUCAGCUCGUGUCGUGAGAUGUUGGGUUAAGUCCCGCAACGAGCGCAACCCUUGCCUUUAGUUGCCAGCAGUUCGGCUGGGCACUCUAAAGGGACUGCCGGUGUUAAACCGGAGGAAGGUGGGGAUGACGUCAAGUCCUCAUGGCCUUUAUGACCAGGGCUACACACGUCUAAACAAUGGCCGAUACAAAGGGCAGCGACACUGCGAGGUGAAGCCAAUCCCGUAAAAUCGGUCUCAGUCCGGAUUGGAGUCUGCAACUCGACUCCAUGAAGUUGGAAUCGCUAGUAAUCGUGGAUCAGCAUGCCACGGUGAAUACGUUCCCGGGCCUU
Molecule: ribosomal RNA, 469 nt
Filed under: uncultured Desulfobulbus sp.
Lineage: Bacteria; Pseudomonadati; Thermodesulfobacteriota; Desulfobulbia; Desulfobulbales; Desulfobulbaceae
Description: bacterial SSU rRNA
Rfam family: Bacterial small subunit ribosomal RNA
Source: RNAcentral